AACGAACGCUGGCGGCAUGCCUAACACAUGCAAGUCGAACGAGAUCUUCGGGUCUAGUGGCGCACGGGUGCGUAACGCGUGGGAGUCUGCCCUUUGGUUCGGAAUAACAGUUGGAAACGACUGCUAAUACCGGAUGAUGACGAAAGUCCAAAGAUUUAUCGCAAGAGGAUGAGCCCGCGUAGGAUUAGCUAGUUGGUGUGGUAAAGGCGCACCAAGGCGACGAUCCUUAGCUGGUCUGAGAGGAUGAUCAGCCACACUGGGACUGAGACACGGCCCAGACUCCUACGGGAGGCAGCAGUGGGGAAUAUUGGACAAUGGGCGAAAGCCUGAUCCAGCAAUGCCGCGUGAGUGAUGAAGGCCUUAGGGUUGUAAAGCUCUUUUACCCGGGAUGAUAGUGACAGUACCGGGAGAAUAAGCUCCGGCUAACUCCGUGCCAGCCGCCGCGGUAA
RNAcentral lists this ribosomal RNA (449 nucleotides) under uncultured bacterium. Its description in RNAcentral is "partial 16S ribosomal RNA". It matches the Rfam family "Bacterial small subunit ribosomal RNA", at positions 29 to 523 of the family's 1533-position model. The record is from RNAcentral.